GCUCGUAGUUGGAUUUCUGGGAGGGCACCAAUGUCCGCUCGUUCGCGUGUGCAGCGGCGCCUUCCAUCCUUCUGUUAACGCUUCUUGGUAUUCAGUUACUGGUAGCGGGCUCAGAUAUUUUACCUUGAGAAAAUUAGAGUGUUCCAGGCAGGCUUGCGCCGGAAUACAUUAGCAUGGAAUAAUAGAAUAGGACUUUAGUCUCCUUUGUUGGUUUGAGGGACUGAAGUAAUGAUUAAUAGGGAUAGUUGGGGGCAUUAGUAUUUAAUUGUCAGAGGUGAAAUUCUCGGAUUUGUUAAAGACUAACUUAUGCGAAAGCAUUUGCCAAGGAUGUUUUCAUUAAUCAAGAACGAAAGUUAGGGGAUCAAAAGACGAUCAGAUACCGUCCUAGUCUUAACCAUAAACUAUGCCGACUAGGGAUCGGAGGCGCGCUUUAAUCCGCCUUCGGAACCUUUAUGAGAAAUCAAAGUCUUUGGGUUCUGGGGGGGAGUAUGGUCGCAAGGCUGAAAACUUAAAGGGAAUUGACGGAAGGCCACCACCAGGAGUGGAGGCUUGCGGCUCAAUUUGACUCACCACGGGGAAAACUUACCAGGUCCAGACAUAGUGAGGAUUGACAGAUUGAUAGCUCUUUUCUUGAUUCUAUGGGUGGUGGUGCAUGGCCGUUCUUAGUUGGUGGAGUGAUUUGUCUGGUUAAUUCCGUUAACGAACGAGACCUUAGCCUACUAACUAGUCGAGCCAAUCUCCGAUUGGCCGCGACUUUCUUAGAGGGACUUUUGUGGCUCCAAACACAAGGAAGUUUGAGGCAAUAACAGGUCUGUGAUGCCCUUAGAUGUCCUGGG
This 836-nucleotide ribosomal RNA is filed under the name uncultured eukaryote. RNAcentral describes it as "SSU rRNA". It matches the Rfam family "Eukaryotic small subunit ribosomal RNA", at positions 626 to 1486 of the family's 1831-position model. The record is from RNAcentral.